GAGGCCCGCGCCGCGUCAUGAUAAGGUUUGGCCCUGACCGUGCCCACAGCCCGCGCCCAAGGGGUCGGAGGGCUUGGCUGUGCACUUCCACUUGCCUUCUGGAAUAUUUCUGCCAAGAAGGCACAGCUGAGUGAGACAAACCACGCUGAGGGCCGGGGGUUCUGCACUCCUCCAGACGCCCCAAAGGAGAGAAAGUCUGCGGUCGUGCUAAGAGAGGCGGCCGGCCGCGUGCAGUCCACGCUGAUGUGUCCUUUGCUGUAACUGGCGUCGUCGCGGCCGGCGGAGUCUGAAGGAGGCCUGCCGAUCACGCCGGCCUUGCGGGGCUCAGCUCCACUCGUGUAUGGUUGUGCUGCGGUUGCGUAAGAGAACGCCCCUGAGCAUUUAGGGCAAAGGGGCAGGAUCCCUACAAGGACGCUCACGUGGCUCAGAAUAGACCUCGUGUGUGUGUGUGUGUGUGUGCGCACGCGUGUAUGUUAGUGGAGUCUGGCUGCGGAUGCCGUGGGAACUGACCUAUUGGAGCUUUCCUGUAAGUCUGCGAUUCUGUCAGAACACAGGAGUGAAAAGGAGAAGACAGGACAGCGCACCUGGGAGCCCACAGUUCUGGGACGUCUGCACCUCGCCCGGGAGCCGCGGGGCCCAGAUCGGGAGAGAGGGAAGAAGGCCCGACAUCCCGGCCAGCUCCUGGCACCCCUGUGUGGGCACGAUGCCUGCCGCCUGACGUCCUGGUGACCCACGUGGACCACGUGGGGGAGGGGCAGUGUGGUGUUUGGGGCGCACCUGCCCUCCCCCCCCGGAGGACAGGUCGGACGCAGAGGGAUUGUUCCCAUGGCACAGAACCCGGGAGAAUGUAGCCAGCCUGCCCACGACUCUGCCCGUGCUGGUGGCCGUGAGAAGUGCGGGCGCCCAGCUCCGCGGAGAGGGUGGGCGCGUCCAGGGAGCCCACAGAGGCAUUGCUGUUCGAAGCAAGAAGAUGCAGAAGGGGACCGUCCACGGGGCCUCGGGACCCACCAGCCUCAGCACCCAUGGGGGCUUAGACAGCAGACGUGUUCCUGACGGAGGCAAAGUGUCCGAGGUCAGGGGCAGAUGGGGUCCAGUUCAGGGCAGAGCCUUCCUGCCCGGUCCUCCUGUGCGGGAGAGAGGGCUCCGUCUUCUCUUUCCGUAAGGGCACUAGUCCCACCGUGAACCCCACCCUCAUGAACCCCCAAAGGC
Molecule: long non-coding RNA, 1209 nt
Organism: Felis catus (domestic cat)
Lineage: Eukaryota; Metazoa; Chordata; Mammalia; Carnivora; Felidae
Exons: 3
Source: RefSeq, a predicted model, not a curated record